Transfer RNA from Camelus ferus (Wild Bactrian camel), 73 nucleotides. It matches the Rfam family "tRNA". From Rfam's summary of the family: Transfer RNA (tRNA) molecules are approximately 80 nucleotides in length. Their secondary structure includes four short double-helical elements and three loops (D, anti-codon, and T loops). Further hydrogen bonds mediate the characteristic L-shaped molecular structure. tRNAs have two regions of fundamental functional importance: the anti-codon, which is responsible for specific mRNA codon recognition, and the 3' end, to which the tRNAs corresponding amino acid is attached (by aminoacyl-tRNA synthetases). tRNAs cope with the degeneracy of the genetic code in two manners: having more than one tRNA (with a specific anti-codon) for a particular amino acid; and 'wobble' base-pairing, i.e. permitting non-standard base-pairing at the 3rd anti-codon position. The record is from Rfam. NCBI's taxonomy places the organism in Eukaryota, Metazoa, Chordata, Mammalia, Artiodactyla, Camelidae.
GAAGGUAUAGCUCAAGUGGUAGAGCACAUGUGUAGCAUGCCUGAGGUCCUGGGUUCAAUCCCCAGUACCUCCA